GUGUCAGCCGCCGCGGUAAUACAGAGGUCCCAAGCGUUGUUCGGAUUCACUGGGCGUAAAGGGUGCGUAGGUGGUCGGGUAAGUUUGAUGUGAAAGCUCCGAGCUUAACUCGGAAAUUGCAUUGAAUACUAUUCGGCUAGAGGGUUGGAGGGGGGACUGGAAUUCUCGGUGUAGCAGUGAAAUGCGUAGAUAUCGAGAGGAACACCAGUGGCGAAGGCGAGUCCCUGGACAACUCCUGACACUGAGGCACGAAAGCUAGGGGAGCAAACAGGAUUAGAUACCCUCGUAGUCC
This 292-nucleotide ribosomal RNA is filed under the name uncultured bacterium. Its description in RNAcentral is "partial 16S ribosomal RNA". It matches the Rfam family "Bacterial small subunit ribosomal RNA", at positions 505 to 796 of the family's 1533-position model. The record is from RNAcentral.